This 191-nucleotide ribosomal RNA is filed under the name Flavobacterium caseinilyticum. RNAcentral's name for it is "Flavobacterium sp. AT-3-2 partial 23S ribosomal RNA". It matches the Rfam family "Bacterial large subunit ribosomal RNA", at positions 2721 to 2925 of the family's 2925-position model. Lineage: Bacteria; Pseudomonadati; Bacteroidota; Flavobacteriia; Flavobacteriales; Flavobacteriaceae. The record is from RNAcentral.
UUGUCACGCCAGUGGCAUCGCAGAGUAGCUACGUUUGGAAGGGAUAAGCGCUGAAAGCAUAUAAGCGCGAAACCCACCACAAGAUGAGAUUUCUUUUAAGGGUCGUGGGAGAUGACCACGUUGAUAGGCUAUAGAUGUAAAGGCAGUAAUGUCAUAGUCGAGUAGUACUAAUAACCCGUAAGCUUAUGUAC